This 1483-nucleotide ribosomal RNA is filed under the name uncultured prokaryote. RNAcentral describes it as "partial 16S ribosomal RNA". It matches the Rfam family "Bacterial small subunit ribosomal RNA". The record is from RNAcentral.
AGAGUUUGAUCCUGGCUCAGGAUGAACGCUAGCGGCAGGCUUAAUACAUGCAAGUCGAGGGGUAACAUGGUAGCAAUACUGAUGACGACCGGCAAACGGGUGAGGAACAUGUACGCAACCUUCCUUUAACUGGAGAAUAGCCCCUCGAAAGAGGGAUUAAUACUCCGUAACAUAAUGAAGUGGCAUCACUUUAUUAUUAUAGCUCCGGCGGUUAAAGAUGGGCGUGCACCUGAUUAGAUAGUUGGCGGGGUAAUGGCCCACCAAGUCUGCGAUCAGUAACUGGUGUGAGAGCACGGUCCCCCACACUGGUACUGAGACACGGACCAGACUCCUACGGGAGGCAGCAGUGAGGAAUAUUGGUCAAUGGACGCAAGUCUGAACCAGCCAUCCCGCGUGAAGGAAGACGGCCUUAUGGGUUGUAAACUUCUUUUAUGUACCAAGAAAGAUAAGUACGUGUAUUUAUUUGACGGUAGUAUAUGAAUAAGCAUCGGCUAACUCCGUGCCAGCAGCCGCGGUAAUACGGAGGAUGCGAGCGUUAUCCGGAUUUAUUGGGUUUAAAGGGUGUGUAGGCGGAUUUUUAAGUCAGUGGUGAAAUCUCUCGGCUCAACCGAGAAACUGCCAUUGAUACUGGAAGUCUUGAGUUUAGAUGAAGUAGGCGGAAUAUGUCAUGUAGCGGUGAAAUGCAUAGAUAUGACAUAGAACACCGAUAGCGAAGGCAGCUUACUAAUCUAUAACUGACGCUGAUGCACGAAAGCGUGGGUAGCAAACAGGAUUAGAUACCCUGGUAGUCCACGCUGUAAACGAUGUUCACUCGUUGUUGGCGAUACAUAGUCAGCGACUAAGCGAAAGUGAUAAGUGAACCACCUGGGGAGUACGAUCGCAAGGUUGAAACUCAAAGGAAUUGACGGGGGCCCGCACAAGCGGAGGAGCAUGUGGUUUAAUUCGAUGAUACGCGAGGAACCUUACCUGGGCUUAAAUGUAGAUUGACAGAUUGGGAAACCAGUCCUUCUUCGGACAUUUUGCAAGGUGCUGCAUGGCUGUCGUCAGCUCGUGCCGUGAGGUGUUGGGUUAAGUCCCGCAACGAGCGCAACCCCUAUCAUUAGUUGCCAUCAGGUUAAGCUGGGAACUCUAAUGAGACUGCCUACGCAAGUAGAGAGGAAGGUGGGGACGACGUCAAAUCAUCAUGGCCCUUACGUCCAGGGCUACACACGUGCUACAAUGGACGGUACAAAGGGUAGCAACACUGCGAAGUGAAGCAAAUCUCAAAAGCCGUUCUCAGUUCGGAUUGGAGUCUGCAACUCGACUCCAUGAAGCCGGAAUCGCUAGUAAUCGCGCAUCAGCUAUGGCGUGGUGAAUACGUUCCCGGGCCUUGUACACACCGCCCGUCAAGCCAUGGAAGCCGGGGGUACCUAAAGUCGUUAACCGUAAUAGGAGCUGCCUAGGGUAAACUUGGUAACUAGGGCUAAGUCGUAACAAGGUAACC